AGUGAACGCUGGCGGCGUGGAUUAGGCAUGCAAGUCGCGCGAUCUCGCAAGAGAUAGCGGCAAACGGGGUUAGGAACACGUAAAUAAUCUUCCUCGUAUUCAAACAUAGCCUUAUGAGAAGUAAGGGUAAUAUUUGAUAAUACCAUUGUGUGGCAUCACAUGACGUUUAAAGCAGGGGACCGCAAGGCCUUGCGAUAUGAGAUGAGUUUGCGUAGCAUCAGCUAGUUGGUAGGGUAAUGGCCUACCAAGGCAAUGACGCUUAGCUGGUCUGAGAGGACGAUCAGCAACACUGGGACUGAGACACUGCCCAGACUCCUACGGGAGGCUGCAGUCGAGAAUAUUUAGCAAUGGACGCAAGUCUGACUAUGCGACGCCGCGUGAGGGAUGAAGGAUUUCGGUUCGUAAACCUCUUUUGGCAGGGAAGAAAUAUCACAUUUAAUAAGUGUGAAACUGACGGUACCUGCAG
Molecule: ribosomal RNA, 466 nt
Filed under: uncultured bacterium
Lineage: Bacteria
Description: bacterial SSU rRNA
Rfam family: Bacterial small subunit ribosomal RNA
Source: RNAcentral